GAACGCGGUAUGCGGUGAAAGUCGCACGUACCGUGUGAGACGGGGGAAAAGCCAGAGAUUACUUCAAAGGUUUACCUAUCGUAC
This 84-nucleotide non-coding RNA is filed under the name Cytobacillus firmus. The record is from RNAcentral. Lineage: Bacteria; Bacillati; Bacillota; Bacilli; Caryophanales; Bacillaceae. RNAcentral also lists the same sequence under 1 other name.